This is an RNA transcript of Mauremys mutica (yellowpond turtle), 9354 nucleotides long. It is a transcript of the gene named TSPO associated protein 1, with no coding region annotated. NCBI's taxonomy places the organism in Eukaryota, Metazoa, Chordata, Testudines, Geoemydidae. The record is from RefSeq and is a predicted model, not a curated record. The transcript is spliced from 32 exons.
UAGGGAUUCUGGGUGCAUGCUGUCAAUUUUGGUUCAGCAGAGGUAGCUGUGGAUUAGAAAUGCAUGUUAUCUGACAGCUCUGUAUUGCAGUACCCUAACCUCUAAUCAAUAGGCAGCAAACACACCAUUCCAGCAUGAUUUCCAUGGAAACCAGAAGUCUCUUCCUAUUGGAGGGCUCACAGGAGCUACACAGUCCUACUAGGUGCAUGUCCCAUUUUAAUAUUGAUGACUUUGCACUAUUUGUGCUGGUGAUUUUGGUGAUUCCACAGCUGGCAAUGGAGCAUGCACUGGAAAAAUCUAGCAAGCAGCAUGGAAGGAUUCCUUGGAGCUGUUAAGGGCUGACAACUUUACCAGCCCCUCCACUUACGUCAUCGCUUCAGUGUGUGUGAGUAUGAGGCAAGCACUAGAUCGGACAAGGCCUCCAUAGCACAGAGCUGCAGAUGAGCAUCAGACCCUGAAUAAAUAAGCAGGCCUGCUGGAUGCUGUUUGCUCUGGGAAUGAGAACCGGAGACCCUGCUGAGUGAUGACAGAGCCGGUCAGUGCAUUGAGGAUCUGCAGCUGAGAACACAGACCCUGAUAUUCUGCAGUUCAUUUAGCAGUCUUUGUAUGAUGGGAAGGAGCGGGAGCUCAAACCGUGGAUUUUCAGUCUGCAAAACCUUUGACAGUCACAAUGAGGAUGAUGCGAGGUAACCCUUUCCUAGCAGAGAGACUCGUCCAUUUCCUUUUAUCCCAGCAGUGAAGAAAUGCAGCCCAAGAUGUUCCUGGGAUUCUCUCCGGUGCUCAGGCUGUGAUGCCUUCAGGGUUUUUAUCCUGUCCUCUGGAGCUCUGUGGCUGCAGAAAAUUCCUAGCCAUAGACAGGGUGGGAUCAGUGUUUGAGAGAAGCACAUUGCCCCACAGAAAGACAUGGAGAAGCAGGAAGAAAUGAAGCCACAUGCUGACUUAAUACAGCUGUCACCAUGUCAGGGCUGUCCGGCAUGGCACAGCAGCAUAGUCCCUGAAGCUCUUGUAUGUCAGGACUCAGCCUUGGUGACAGAUAUGCAAGAAGGUCGAGCCCCUUUGGUGGAUACUGGCAACGGGGUAGUUCUUGAACUGACGCCUGGGGUGCCAGAGCCUGGUCUAGAGGAAGUCAGAAACCAGUCAGUCCUGAUGCAAUCCCAGGAAACCUCCCUGUGGGCCCCAGGCCAAUGGGAGGUGCCAAUGCAACCUCUGGAGAGCAUUAGGUCUCAGUGUGCAAUGGAGGGGCUCAGACACUACCAGACAGAUGGAUCCUCCAAGUGUUGUGCUGAUUACAGCUACCUGGUGAAGCAGAACAGGAAGCUCCUGCGGGCGCUGGAGGAGUUACAGCACUGCUGCACCAGCCUGAAGGAGGAAAACUGCCUGCUGCGGAAGAGCUACUUUCCCGAGACUGAGGAGAAGGUGAAGCACUUGAAGAGAAAGAAUGCGGAGCUGGCCCUGAUCGCAAAGCGCCUGGAGGAAAGAGCAAGAAAACUGCAGGAAGCAAACCUCAAAGUAAAUGCUCCAGUGGCUAUGAAGGGCUCCAGCCUGGAGCUGUGUAAAAAAGCAUGUGCCCACCAGCGUGCCAAGGACCUGACAGAACAGGCCAGUGCCCUCCUAGCAAAAGAUAAACAGAUUGAAGCUUUGCAGCAUGAGUGUCAGGAGCUACAGGCGAAGCUCACAGCUGGGAAGGAGGGCCCUCAUUGCCUGAACCUCCUAGACUUUGACCACCUGUUGCGGGAAUCUCAGAAGGAAGUGUUACGGUUACAGAGACAGAUUGCACUGAAGAAUUUCAAGGAGUCUCUCCAGUCCUCUAAAACUGGUUCAAAAAGCUCUUCAUCAAUUGCUGCCAAUUGCUUGGGACCAUCUGUGCCAACUCUAGAUACCAGCAUAAAUUAUUCAUCUCUAUCAAAGGGGGUGCAAUUAGGAGAGCCAACACUAGCAAUGGAAGCACAUAGGAAGGUGGAGCCAGGAGUGCUACCUUUGGGACAUGCCUCGGAGGAGUAUGAAAACUUUCCUCCAAAAAGUGUGGUAGCAGACCCAGAGAGCAGUCAGCAAACGCAGCAAUUGGAAUUUGAGCUCAGGAAAAAACGUAAAAAAUGUGAAAACCUUGAACAUGAAGUGAGGAAAAAGCACAAAAGAUGCAAAGAAUUGGAAAUCCAGCUGCAGGUGGUGCAGGGUGAAAAUGCACGACUGGCUCAGGAGAACACUCAACUGAAUGGGAAGGCUGAAUGGGCGCAACAGGUGGAAUCUGAAAAUGCUGACCUGAAGUUACAGGUUGUUUUAGUUACUAAGGAACGGGAUUCUGCUCUUCAGAAGAGCCAAGGACUCCAAACCAAGCUGGAGAAUCUAGAGCACGUGCUGAAGCAUAUGAGAGAUGUGGCUGAGCGAAGGCAGCAGCUGGAGGCUGAACACGAGGAAGCCCAGCUAGCACUGCAGGAGAAACAAGAGGAAGUCAGAUGGUUGCAGCAGGCCCAGGCAGAGGCAAAAAGGGAACAUGAAGGAGCAGUACAGCUACUAGAGGCCCAGGUGAGAGAUCUGGAGGAUCAGUGCCGCAGCCACAUCGAACAGUUCAGCCUCCUGUCUCAGGAACUCAAACGAUUCCAUCUACAGACAGGAAAGACUGGCCCUCUGACCUCAACAUUGGUGGCUUCUGAGCUCCCGCUCAUGGCCUGCUGUUCCAUCCCUCAGUCCCAGUGCCGCCAAUGGGAGAAGGAUCCAGAUGUUGCCCCUGCACGUCCUGCUCUUCAGUGCACUAAGAAGAUUCAUGAUGAAGGGAGUAAAGAGCUGGAAUCAUUACCUCAGAUCCCUGAUCCCAUGUCUAGUGUCACCAAAAUUCCAGUCUCAGGUGCUGCUGCCACAUCUCAGAAGCAAGUCAAGAGACUGGAGUCCCAGUCAAGCUCUUCAAAAUCAGAAUCCAUGCAGAACAGUCCCAAGUCCUGCCCCACUCCAGAGGUGGACACUGCAAGUGAAAUGGAAGAACUGGAUGUUGAUAGCGUCUCUUUGAUUCCAGAAUCAGAGAGCCAGGGCCCUGCAAAACUCCAAGUCUUCCUAGCUCGUUACAGCUAUAAUCCCUUCAAUGGUCCCAAUGAGAACCCGGAGUCAGAGCUCCCACUGACUGCUGGAGAGUAUAUUUACAUCUAUGGGGACAUGGACGAGGAUGGCUUCUUUGAAGGGGAACUAAUGGAUGGCAGGAGAGGGCUGGUCCCCUCCAAUUUUGUUGAACGAGUUUCAGAUGAUGACCUCAUGACCUUUCUGCCUCCAGAGGUAAAUGAUCUCACCCAGAGCUCGUACCACGAGAGGAGCUUUGUCGGUGCAAGCACUAGCAGUGGAGAGAGAAGUGAUCACUCUGCUGACGAGGCCAGUGUCAGUCCAUUGCCUAGUAGACCAGAAGACCAGGAGGAGCCUGUCAAUCACACAGCAGUGCCUUAUCCGAGAAAGCUGACUGUGAUCAAACAGCUCACCAGCGGCAUAGUUGUAGGCUGGGAGCCACCACUUUUGCCAGCUGGCAGUACAGACAUACAGAGCUAUAACGUCUAUGUGGAUGCAGAGUUAUGCCAGAAUGUGAAGAGUGGCUCUCAAACGAAAGCUGUGAUCGAGAAGCUGGACUUGGAGCUGAAAGCCUAUCGCAUCUCUGUGCAAAGUGUGACAGAGCAAGGAAACUCCGAUAAGCUGCGGUGUACUUUCUGUGUAGGGCAAGAUUUCUGCAUAGCACCAAUGCUGCUGAAAAUCAGAAGCAUGACAGCGACCUCAGCAGAGGUUACCUGGCUACCAUGCAACAGCAACUACGUUCAUGCAGUGUACCUCAAUGAGGAAGAGUGUGAUACCACAAAGCCAGGUGUCUACUGGUACACGUUCCACAGCCUGCGCCCUAACACUCAGUACGUUGCCAAGGUGGAGGCCCGGCCCCCCAGGGUGCUCUGGGAGUUGCCCCAGGAGAGGCGUGAGCAGAAAUCAGCAGCGAUACACUUCACUACUCCCUUAGCAGGAACUCCUGAUGCACCACUUGAUGUCCAAGCAGAGCCUGGCCCCUCAGCAGGCAUUCUGGUUAUCAGCUGGCUACCUGUCACCAUUGAUGCAGAAGGCUCAUCGAAUGGGGUCCGAGUUACCGGCUAUGCUGUGUAUGCCGAUGGACAGAAGGUGAUGGAAGUUGCAUCUCCAACUGCAGGCAGUGUCCUCGUGGAGCUGUCCCAGCUGCAGAUGUUCCAGGUGUGCCGGGAGGUCUCUGUGAGAACUAUGUCUCUGUAUGGAGAAUCCGCUGAUUCAGUGCCAGCCCAAAUCCCCUCAGCCUUGCUGAAAGCUUCUAGACAUUCCUCACUAUCACAGGCUGUUGUUUCUACCAGUCUUCCUUCCAGACUGAUCUGUGGGGAACCCAAGGGCUCUCAUCCCAAGCGAAUGCCAGUUACACACUGCACAGCUCCGCUCUUCCCUCCACAGAAAUGUUCCACUGACAGUUCAGAUGGCAAAUUCACUGUCCACACCGCUCCCAGCAGUGACAGCUCAGUGAAUUGUCUGCCAGGGAAGAUCUCCCCACACCUGCACCUCUUCUCUCCCCGGGUUUCCUCGGUUCAAGCGUUGGGCACAUCAUCCCCAGUUUCAGACACUGUAAGAGAUGAGCAGUGUCUGACUUCCCUUCCGCAGCCUGCAGGAGUGGGUGAAGAACCCGAGCCAUCGGGGGCAGCAGCGUUGAAGGGCCCUGGUGAAGGCAUCCAGGCACAGGGGACGGAGGAGCUCUCUGUAAGCAACAGACCUGAGCUAAAAAGCAGUGACGUGAAGAUGCCCCUGGAGACCUGCCACGCGUGCUUUGUGGAGGAGCGGUUAAAAGAGUCAACCAUUCACAGAGAGAGGAAGGCAGAUGAGCAGUGCUUGAGUCCAGAGCCUCAGCUCUCCACCCACCAGGCUGAGCUGGGUGUGGACAGCUGCAGAGACUCAGACAGGACUGGAAGCUCUGUUCAGGAAUUCCUAAGAGUGUCCCCUGGAAAGAAACUGAUGAAAGAAACUUCCCGAGGAGACUCUUCUCUGAUGGUGCCCAAAGUCAAAAGAGAGCAGGAAGAGAAAAUAGCAGAAGCAGGAAAACGGCAGCUGAAUCUGCUUGCUGAGCACAGCCGCAGCUCUGACCUGUCAGAUAUUUUGGAGGAGGAGGAGGAGGACCUAUGUUCAGACAUGCAGGGAGAGAAGCAGUGGGACCCAAGGGCUUACUGCAGCGGAGAGAACGGGGGAAAGCUGGAGCCUUGCGACACCGAUAGCGAUGAGGAAAUUCUGGAGAGGCUUCUGGAGCUCCCACAUCAGCAGAACUGCAGCAAGAAGUUGUUUAGCAUUCCCGAAGUGACAGAGGAAGAGGAUGAAGAGGAGGAGGAAGAAAAGUGUGUACAUGUGGAGAAGAGAGAAUCUCCAGACUGCUCCCUGGAGAGACAUCCAUACCAUACAGAAAGGAAGGGGACACCCCAUCCCAUAAGUGCCCCUCAGGCAUUUCCAAACACAGAUGGUAAUGACACCUACCAAAAUCUUCCCAAGCAGGCUCCCCAAGAGGCUCUUAUCCUUCAGAAGACCAGAGAAGACUCUGACGAUGAGAAUCCUGCCUAUCUGGAGCUGAGCUGGACUCAGAAGAGGGGUAGCUGUAAUUGGAGUUACCAGGAGAGUAGAAUGAAGCCCACUGCAGGCACAAGCCCCCAGUGGGGCAGAAAGAAAGGAGAUAAUUCUCAAGAAAGGGUCCAUGAUCUGCCUGAGGUGAGCAGGAAGAAACGGAGUGAUGUCAAAGAGCAUUGUAGUCGCCUGCUGAACACCUGCAGCCUGACAGGCGGCAGCUUGUACAGAGCCCAUAGCCUCAAGGAGAAGCUGAACGUCGUAAGCAGUGCUAGUGGCAAGGGUAGGUCAGAAAUCUGUGGUCAUGCAAGACCAGGCACCUUUAGAAAAUCCCACAGAAAGUUAAUGCCGUCAGACUUAGCAGAGCCCGCUGCAUUGACAGCCCACUGCUUCAACACAAGGAGCCUCGAGAUCAAUAUUGAAUAUGACUCCGAGGAAGAUCAGGAUCUGACCUUCCCUUCCAGCCCCGGGAGCAGUGAAUGGCCAGAUGGCAGUGUGGAGGGGUCCCAGACUGGCUGUGAAGGGUGGAGUGAUUGCUCCAGUCAGUCUGAGUCUGCCCACUCUGAUGGGAGAACCCCGCUGAAGAAGCAAGAGUUUGGGGAAGAGGAGGGAAUGGAGUGGGCUGGGUCUCCACGCCACCACCCACAGUUACCUUGCCCAGAGAAGGAGGCACUGAGGAGUGAAGGCAGCUCAGAGGAGCAAGGCUGGGAACAAGAGGAUAGUCCAGCUGGCUGGAGGAAGAUGCCGGAGCGCCCUUGGAAGGGGAUACAUGGUGCUGCGUUGCACGCAAGGGUCUGGGCUUCUGAUAAUGAAGAUCUGAGGUUACAGGAGUUACUUGGCUCACCAGCUUGGCAGACUCAAAAGACCCAAAAAGGGAACAAGACCUUGAGAAGAAACCGAAUCUUGAAAUCUUCCAUCUCCAGUUCAGGCACAGCUUCAGACAACUCAGUCAGGAUAUUUGUGGCCCUUUUUGACUAUGACCCCAUUUCUAUGUCACCUAACCCUGAUGCGGCUGAAGAAGAGCUCCCAUUUAAGGAGGGGCAGAUUCUGAAGGUGUGUGGCGACAAAGACGCUGAUGGGUUUUUCAGAGGUGAAUGUGCAGGAAGGGCAGGGUACAUCCCUUGUAACAUGGUGUCUGAAGUUCAGGUGGAGAGUGAGGAAGCGAGGAAGGAGCUGUUAAAGCAAGGUUACGUUCCUGCUGCCACAUCGGUGGAAAGCAUAGGAAAUGGUACAUUUGCUCCACCUCCACGCCGCCUCACCGUCCCUCCUCCGAAACCCAGACGUGCCAAGAAAGCAGAGCUGGAGAAACAGGAAGACUACAAGCUUCGUCCAGGGUCCAGCUGGCAGGUUGAUCUGAUCACACCUAGGACCAUGGUGGCUGCUUUUGACUACAACCCUAGGGAGAGCUCUCCAAAUGUGGAUGUGGAGGCUGAGCUGACAUUUACUGCUGGAGACGUUAUCACAGUGUUCGGGUCCAUGGACGAUGAUGGAUUCUAUUACGGGGAGUUAAACAGACAGAGAGGCCUUGUCCCAUCUAACUUCCUGGAAGCUGUCUCUCUGGAUGGAGGAAUGGCUGACGGGCUUCAUUUGGAAGACCAAGACACGUGUGCAGUGAAUGCCGAGAGUCAGAGAAUGAGGAAAAGAAGAGUCCAGUGAUAGAUAAGAAUGAUACAUAGAGAGAGAGCAACCAUAAUUGCCAGUUGACUCCAGGGAAAUGGAAGCAACUCCCCCUUGUUGUAUUACAGCAGCUCAGGAAAUCAGAAUUUAACCCUUCCAUUUUAUUCUGACCGCCACGCUCCAAAUAUACCUUCAGAGAGCCUUCUGCGUUUGAAAUGGACACUGACCAGAAGCAGUCCAUUGCAGAGCACGCUGCUUGUGGGAGCAUGGCUAGAUUUGGGAAAUCUCUGCUGUGGGGCCAGCAAAGCAGUGGAUUUAGGAGAUGUACCAGGAAUGACCCUGCAUGGCGGCAAAUAGUGAAGAAGCUGGCAAAUUUACUGGCCGGUGACCAGGGCAGGGAGCAGACUACACAGCUCAGGACUGAGUACAGGGAAACCAGGGACCAGAACGGCACCGUGGGCAACUCGCCGACAUCAUUUUAUGAGGCAUUUAACCGGGUGCUGGGCACUGCGCCGAGCAUGGAGCCAGCCUGGGGGCUGAUGGCAGCCAGUGGCAGGCAGCAAGUGAGGCCACCAAAGCUGACACUGGUCCCAGAGGAGGCUUUGGAGCAAAAGCUGCUGCAAUACAACCUGGGCUGUGCUCAGAGGAGCUUUUUGAUGCCACAGAAGGAACCACCGUGGCACCUGCAACUGAACCAGAAGAGGCAGAAGCCGUCCUGGAGCCUGGCACCACAAGAACUGUUCCGUCCUCCAAAAUGCGGAAUGCCAGAAAUGACAGGGAAACCUUGUGCAGUGUAUGGCCACCGACCUCCCCCGCUAACUCAAGUUAUUCUGCAAUUUUAAGGGGGGGAAAAAGCAGCUGUGAUUUUUAACUUACCGUUGUCUCUGGACAUCUUUGCUACAAUUAACCAGGCUGUGUUCAGGGAGCGUCUGUGGUCUGUAGCAUCCCUCUCACAAUAUACUGAAGUUCAGUUUGGAAAAGUAACUUUUUAUAUCCUUGAAAUUCCACAUGGAAUCUUCCUGUGCUCCUGCAUGUGAGCAGAAAACCCUCGGUGUCUGGUCCUCCGCCAGGCCCCUCGCCCCCUACUGGCUGCGGCACCUCCACAGCUCGCCCACAGUGCAGCAGAAGCCUGGACCAACGUAUCUCCAAAGACCGUUGCAAGAGGGAGUGUUUCCAUGAUGAACUGAUGGCUGAAGUUCUGGACAGGGCCCACCAGCAGGUCCAGCACCAAGGGCAGAGGGACUUGCGGCGAGAGGCCAGGGGAAAGGCUCAGGCUGCCUUUGAGGACAGGUUUGCAGCUUAGGAGCGGGCACUUUUCUUUGUAGUUCCUGGGGCGGCUAAGGGAGGAGGACAGAGCUCAGCAGAAAGAACUUUUUGAGUGGCUGCUGUUGCUAACAGGCUCCUGCUUCACCCCCGACACCAAGGCCUGAGUCUCCUCGGCGGUUCCCCGUGCAGCAGUCCAGAAACAGCUUGGACAACGCCAUGGGCUGGGUGGCCCAUGCAAUUGGGCCCAAUGAGCGGCAGGCCAGGGCAACUGUGGCACAUGCAGCCUCUCCCACUCCUCCCCCACACCAAGUUGCAGGGAGGAAUAGCUCAGUGGUUUCAGCAUUGGCCUGCUAAACCCAGGGUUGUGAGUUCAAUCCUUGAGGAGGCCAUCUAGGGGACUGGGGUAAAAAUCUGUCUGGGGAUUGGUCCUGCUUUGAGCAGGGGGUGGGACUAGAUGCCUUCUGAGGUCCCUUCCAACUCUGAGAUUCUAGGAUUCAAGUGUGCAGCGCAUGUGGAAGGAAGGGAAGGGGGUAUGGAGAGCCAGGGGGUAUGCAAUGGUCAGGGGUUUCUGUCCUGAACAUGGUUUCACCGUUUGCAUUUGUUCAUGCACUUUGUUCUCUUUUGUAAAGGUUUUGUUGUUGCUGGUGUUUAGAUAUGCUAAUGGCAGCUGGGCCAUGUUUAUAAGUAAAGCUUUUUAUUCAGAAAGUUUAUUGCUAUCACUGCAUCACAUCACACCGUGUGUAUUUCACAUUGUAAAGGUAACACGUGAUCAGGGACAAUUGCCAAACAUUCGUCGUCAGUACAGUUAGCUGCAUCAGUCACUUUACAUCAGUGGUUUUCAAACUUUUUUUCUGGGGACCCAGUUGAAGAAAAUUGUUGAUGCCCAUGACCCAG